AUGAGAUUAUGACAUUAAAAUUAGGUCAUAGUGGCAUUGGUGAGGGAAGAUGAAGGAACUUUCCUUCCUAUAUUAAUUAGUUGAUUAAUUUUAAACUACUAAAGUUUAGUUGUUGGUUUAAUAAAAUAAAUGAAUGUUUCAAAACUUAUAAUUAAUUUAUUAUUUAUGGUUACAUAUUGUUGAAUUUAAAUAGAAAGAGGAAGAGACAUGUAAUCUUUUGCAAUCUAUUAAUUAUUUUCUAUUUUUAAUAUAUGCCACAAAUCUUAACUACUUAAUAUUUAUAGAGUUUGAAGAAGCCAAAGGUACUAAACAAAAGGUUGCAUAAUUAAAAAUGAGAUUAUAGCAUUAAAAUUAGACCCUAAUGGCAUUGUUGAGGGAAGAUGAAGGAACAUUCCUUCCUAUAUUAAUUAAUUGAUAUAUUUAAGCCACUAAAAUUUAAUUGUUGGCAUAAUAAAAUAAAUAAAUGUUUCAAAAUUUAUAAUUAAUUAUUAUUAAUGGUUACAUAUUAUUGAAUUUAAAUAGAAAGAGGAAGAGACAUGUAAUAUUUUAUAAUCUAAUAAUUAUUU
Molecule: long non-coding RNA, 566 nt
Filed under: Citrus sinensis (sweet orange)
Lineage: Eukaryota; Viridiplantae; Streptophyta; Magnoliopsida; Sapindales; Rutaceae
Description: long non-coding RNA (CSIN_LNC003630)
Source: RNAcentral